Non-coding RNA from Ixodes scapularis (black-legged tick), 65 nucleotides. The record is from Rfam. Lineage: Eukaryota; Metazoa; Arthropoda; Arachnida; Ixodida; Ixodidae.
CCCUGGUUAGCUCAAGCGCUCCACUGGAAAUGGAGAGGUCCCGGGUUCGACACCCGGACCAGGCG